GACGAACGCUGGCGGCGUGCCUAAUACAUGCAAGUAGAACGCUGAAGAGAGGAGCUUGCUCUUCUUGGAUGAGUUGCGAACGGGUGAGUAACGCGUAGGUAACCUGCCUUGUAGCGGGGGAUAACUAUUGGAAACGAUAGCUAAUACCGCAUAGCAAUGGAUGACACAUGUCAUUUAUUUGAAAGGGGCAAUUGCUCCACUACAAGAUGGACCUGCGUUGUAUUAGCUAGUAGGUGAGGUAAUGGCUCACCUAGGCGACGAUACAUAGCCGACCUGAGAGGGUGAUCGGCCACACUGGGACUGAGACACGGCCCAGACUCCUACGGGAGGCAGCAGUAGGGAAUCUUCGGCAAUGGGGGCAACCCUGACCGAGCAACGCCGCGUGAGUGAAGAAGGUUUUCGGAUCGUAAAGCUCUGUUGUAAGUCAAGAACGGGUGUGAGAGUGGAAAGUUCACACUGUGACGGUAGCUUACCAGAAAGGGACGGCUAACUACGUG
RNAcentral lists this ribosomal RNA (497 nucleotides) under uncultured bacterium. RNAcentral describes it as "partial 16S ribosomal RNA". It matches the Rfam family "Bacterial small subunit ribosomal RNA", at positions 28 to 507 of the family's 1533-position model. The record is from RNAcentral.